This 447-nucleotide ribosomal RNA is filed under the name uncultured bacterium. RNAcentral describes it as "partial 16S ribosomal RNA". It matches the Rfam family "Bacterial small subunit ribosomal RNA", at positions 29 to 523 of the family's 1533-position model. The record is from RNAcentral.
AGCGAACGCUGGCGGCAGGCCUAACACAUGCAAGUCGAGCGCCCCGCAAGGGGAGCGGCAGACGGGAGAGUAACACGGGGGAACGUACCCUUUGGUUCGGAACAACCCAGGGAAACUUGGGCUAAUACCGGAUAAGCCCUUACGGGGAAAGAUUCAUCGCCGAAGGAUCGGCCCGCGUCUGAUUAGCUAGUUGGUGGGGUAACGGCCCACCAAGGCGACGAUCAGUAGCUGGUCUGAGAGGAUGAUCAGCCUCACUGGGACUGAGACACGGCCCAGACUCCUACGGGAGGCAGCAGUGGGGAAUAUUGGACAAUGGGCGCAAGCCUGAUCCAGCCAUGCCGCGUGGGUGAUGAAGGCCCUAGGGUUGUAAAGCCCUUUCUGCGGGGAAGAUAAUAACGGUACCCGCAGAAGAAGCCCCGGCUAACUUCGUGCCAGCCGCCGCGGUAA